RNAcentral lists this ribosomal RNA (254 nucleotides) under uncultured bacterium. Its description in RNAcentral is "partial 16S ribosomal RNA". It matches the Rfam family "Bacterial small subunit ribosomal RNA", at positions 524 to 776 of the family's 1533-position model. The record is from RNAcentral.
UACAGAGGUCUCAAGCGUUGUUCGGAUUCAUUGGGCGUAAAGGGUGCGUAGGCGGCGCGGUAAGUCGGGUGUGAAAUCUCCAGGCUCAACUUGGAGAUGCCACCCGAUACUGCUCUGACUUGAGUUCGGUAGGGGAGUGGGGAAUUCCUGGUGUAGCGGUGAAAUGCGCAGAUAUCAGGAGGAACACCGGUGGCGAAGGCGCCACUCUGGGCCGAAACUGACGCUGAGGAGCGAAAGCGUGGGUAGCAAACAGG